UGGGGGAUAUUGGUCAAUGGGGGAAACCCUGAACCAGCGACGCCGCGUGAGGGAAGACGGUCUUCGGAUUGUAAACCUCUGUCUUCGGGGAAGAAAGAAAUGACGGUACCCGAAGAGGAAGCCACGGCUAACUACGUGCCAGCAGCCGCGGUAAUACGUAGGUGGCGAGCGUUGUCCGGAAUUACUGGGUGUAAAGGGAGCGUAGGCGGGAAUAUAAGUCAAGUGUGAAAUGUAUCGGCUCAACCGGUACCUGCGCUUGAAACUGUAUUUCUUGAGUGAAGUAGAGGUAGGCGGAAUUCCUAGUGUAGCGGUGGAAUGCGUAGAUAUUAGGAGGAACACCAGUGGCGAAGGCGGCCUACUGGGCUUUUACUGACGCUGAAGCUCGAAAGCGUGGGGAGCAAACA
The sequence is a ribosomal RNA, 404 nucleotides long. It matches the Rfam family "Bacterial small subunit ribosomal RNA", at positions 355 to 774 of the family's 1533-position model.